UACGGAGGAUGCGAGCGUUAUCCGGAUUUAUUGGGUUUAAAGGGUGCGUAGGCGGACUGUCAAGUCAGCGGUAAAAUUGAGAGGCACAACCUCUUCCCGCCGUUGAAACUGGUGGUCUUGAGUGGAUGAGAAGUACGCGGAAUGCGUGGUGUAGCGGUGAAAUGCAUAGAUAUCACGCAGAACUCCGAUUGCGAAGGCAGCGUACCGGCAUCCAACUGACGCUGAGGCACGAAAGCGUGGGGAUCAAACAGG
RNAcentral lists this ribosomal RNA (252 nucleotides) under uncultured bacterium. RNAcentral's name for it is "partial 16S ribosomal RNA". It matches the Rfam family "Bacterial small subunit ribosomal RNA", at positions 524 to 776 of the family's 1533-position model. The record is from RNAcentral.